Molecule: ribosomal RNA, 400 nt
Filed under: Platymaia remifera
Lineage: Eukaryota; Metazoa; Arthropoda; Malacostraca; Decapoda; Inachidae
Description: partial 16S large subunit ribosomal RNA
Rfam family: Archaeal large subunit ribosomal RNA
Source: RNAcentral
UUCAAGAGCCGCGGUACCCUGACCGUGCAAAGGUAGCAUAAUCAUUAGGAGCUUAAUUGGAACCUUGUAUGAAGGGCUGAACAAAAAAAGAGCUGUCUCUACUUCAAAAUUUGAAUUUGACUUUUAAGUGAAAAGGCUUAAAUUCCUUAGAGGGACGAUAAGACCCUAUAAAACAUUCUGUUGGGGCGACAAAGGUAUAAAUUCUAGCUACCUAACCUUUAUACAGUUUAAGCGUACUGAUCCUUUCUAGAGAUUAAAAGACUAAGUUACUUUAGGGAUAACAGCGUUAUUUCUUUUCAGAGUCCUUAUCGAAAAAGAAGAUUACGACCUCGAUGUUGAAUUAAAUUAUCUACGCAAUGCAGCCGUUGCAAAAGAGGGUCUGUUCGACCUUUAAUUAUUU